RNAcentral lists this ribosomal RNA (1409 nucleotides) under metagenome. Its description in RNAcentral is "bacterial LSU rRNA". It matches the Rfam family "Bacterial large subunit ribosomal RNA", at positions 1527 to 2925 of the family's 2925-position model. The record is from RNAcentral.
CGUGGGUAGGUAAAUCCGUCUGCGUGUUGAUCUGAGACCUGAUGCAUAGCCGAUUGAGGCGAAGUAGCGUGAUCCUACGCUGUCGAGAAAAGCCUCUAGCGAGCUCCGAGCGGCCCGUACCCCAAACCGACACAGGUGGUCAGGUAGAGAAUACCGAGGUGAUCGAGCGAACUAUGGUUAAGGAACUCGGCAAAAUACCCCCGUAACUUCGGGAGAAGGGGGACCGAGGUGUGUGAAGCCCCUUGCGGGCUAGCACGUUUUGGUCGCAGAGACCAGGGAGAAGCGACUGUUUACUAAAAACACAGGUCCAUGCGAAGUCGUAAGACGAGGUAUAUGGACUGACGCCUGCCCGGUGCUGGAAGGUUAAGAGGACCGGUUAGUCCGUAAGGGCGAAGCUGAGAAUUUAAGCCCCAGUAAACGGCGGUGGUAACUAUAACCAUCCUAAGGUAGCGAAAUUCCUUGUCGGGUAAGUUCCGACCUGCACGAAUGGCGUAACGACUUCUCUACUGUCUCAACCAUAGGCUCGGCGAAAUUGCAUUACGAGUAAAGAUGCUCGUUACGCGCGGCAGGACGGAAAGACCCCGGGACCUUUACUAUAGCUUGGUAUUGGUGUUCGGUUCGGCUUGUGUAGGAUAGGUGGGAGACUGUGAAGUGGCCACGCCAGUGGUUGUGGAGUCGUCGUUGAAAUACCACUCUGGUCGUACUGGAUGUCUAACUUCGGACCGUGAUCCGGUUCAGGGACAGUGCCUGGUGGGUAGUUUAACUGGGGCGGUUGCCUCCUAAAGAGUAACGGAGGCGCCCAAAGGUUCCCUCAGCCUGGUUGGCAAUCAGGUGUUGAGUGUAAGUGCACAAGGGAGCUUGACUGUGAGACAGGCGUGUCGAGCAGGGACGUAAGUCGGGACUAGUGAUCCGGCACCUCCGAGUGGAAGGGGUGUCGCUCAACGGAUAAAAGGUACCCCGGGGAUAACAGGCUGAUCUUGCCCAAGAGUCCAUAUCGACGGCAUGGUUUGGCACCUCGAUGUCGGCUCGUCGCAUCCUGGGGCUGGAGUAGGUCCCAAGGGUUGGGCUGUUCGCCCAUUAAAGCGGCACGCGAGCUGGGUUUAGAACGUCGUGAGACAGUUCGGUCCCUAUCCGCCGCGCGCGUAGGAGUCUUGCGGAAGGCUGUCCCUAGUACGAGAGGACCGGGACGGACGAACCUCUGGUGUGCCAGUUGUUCCGCCAGGAGCAUGGCUGGUUGGCUACGUUCGGAAGGGAUAACCGCUGAAAGCAUCUAAGCGGGAAGCCUGUUCCUAGAUGAGGGCUCCCACCCCUAGUGGGUUAAGGCCCCCGGUUAGACCACCGGGUUGAUAGGCCGGAAGUGGAAGCAUCGUAAGGUGUGGAGCUGACCGGUACUAAUAGGCCGAGGACUU